GGAUUAGAUACCCUGGUAGUCCACACCGUAAACUAUGAUCACUAGAUGUUGGCGAUAUACAGUCAGUGUCUAAGAGAAAUCGUUAAGUGAUGCACCUGGGGAGUACGUUCGCAAGAAUGAAACUCAAAGGAAUUGACGGGGGCCCGCACAAGCGGUGGAGCAUGUGGUUUAAUUCGAUGAUACGCGAGGAACCUUACCAAGACUUAAAUGUAAAACGACCGACCGAGAGAUCAGUCUUUUUUCGAACGGUUUACAAGGUGCUGCAUGGUUGUCGUCAGCGUGCCGCU
RNAcentral lists this ribosomal RNA (287 nucleotides) under uncultured bacterium. Its description in RNAcentral is "partial 16S ribosomal RNA". It matches the Rfam family "Bacterial small subunit ribosomal RNA", at positions 775 to 1067 of the family's 1533-position model. The record is from RNAcentral.